AUGGCUCGGGCUACUAAAGGUCCCGUAGUGAAGUCCAUCCCUCCCACUGCUAGGACAGCACACUCAGACUCACUUACUGCCCAGAGCCUUGGAAUUUUACGAAUCAUGAAUCGUCCGGCACAAUGGGUGGUCAUCAUCACACUUCUGAUUUCUUGGUCAAUAGCAGGUGUUAUCAUGUUUGAUUUUGUCAGUGACAAUCAGAUUGCAAGCAUCCAGGAUUUUGGCUCUGAUCCAGUGCUAGCAGUGAGCAAGGCCAUUGAAGGCAUUGAAAAAAGGAUAAACCAUAUGAACGACAUGCUUUAUGAUGCUAUCGAGUAUGCCACUGAAAUAAUAUUUAAUCCGAGGGACGCUAUUAGUUUAGCAGCCGACUCUUCUGUGUCUUAUCUGUCAGGAAUAUUUAGUGCCGAUGGAGAUUCAGGAGUCACUGAAACAGUGAAAUAUGCUGGCACUGUAUUGGAUGAAGCUACAGAAUGGAUCAGAACUCCAGUGAGCUACUUUUUCCACUUGUUUGAAGACAUAUUGGCUAUAGCGAUUACUCCAGUGGACAUGAUCACUGAAGUUGCUGUGCAAAUUUUAAGUGGGAUCAAGACCAUUAUACAAUACAUUUCAGCCAUGUUUGGGGGUAUUGAAGGCAUCACUGAAACAGUGAAACUUGGUGGCACUGUAUUGGAUGAAGUUACUGAAUGGAUUAGAUUCCCAGUGGGCUACUUAUUCCACUUAUUUGAAGACAUCUUGGAUGUAGCAAUCAUUUAUCCAGGGGACAUUGCCACUGAAGCAGUUCUGCAAAUUUUAAGUAGGAUCAAGACCAUUUCUUCAGCCAUAUUUGGGUACAUUGAAGCUUGGUUUCCCAAAUUGAGCACGGAUCCUGAAGGACUGGCUGUAAUUGUUGUAGAGGAGGCCACAGACAUAAAGACCACUGUCUCUAAUUACCUAACCAGUCUGAUAACAGUGGAUGAAGGGGGUAUUCCUGACAUUAGCUUUGAUCCCAUGAAAGUUGUCACAGACACUGUUGAGGAGUUUGCUGACAGGAGAGAUAUGUUCAUGGCCUAUCUCUUCAACAUGGAAGACAAAGGUGACACACCGCAAGUUAUAAGACGAAAAGGAGAAUUUCUGCCACCUAUAGAAAAAGAUAUGAGGGAAAAGGAGGCUGAAGGUAAAGAGGAAGAGAUAACACUUCAACAAAUAAAUAUAACAGUAGAAAAAGUCAAGAAGGAAAAGAAGAUAGAAAAGGCUAAAAGAAAAGAAAAAUCCAAAGAGGACGAGACUCGAGAACCAGCAGAAAAGGACACCAAGAAAACAACUGAGAAAAAGGUCAAGGUGACUAAAGUGGACCAGGAAGCCCCUAUAAAAAAGAAGAAAUCUGAACUUAAAAUGGCCAAAAAAGAGACCAAACCAGCACAAUCUAAGAAAGAGCCUCGAGUUACAAAAGAAAAGGCUAAACCAGCUCGUUCAAAGAAAGUUGCUGUUGAAAAACCAAAACUUGCUCCUGGAAAGAAAGAGCCUAAGGUUUCUAAAGAGAAGGCCAAGCUGAAACCCUCAAAGAAAGCUGAAGAGAAACAAAGACCUGUUCCUGUGAAGAAAAAGGCUUUAGCACCCAAGGACAAAAUUAAACCGGCCCUUUUGAAAAAAGAAGAAAAGCCAACAACCACCACUGUUAAAAAAGAGCCUGCAGUUGCAAAAGAGAAAGUCAAACCAGUGCCUUCAAAGAAAGAUACUGAAGCUACUAAGGAUAAAGUGAAACCAGCCCCAGUUAAGAAAGAACCUGCAGUUUCAAAAGGGAAAGCAAAAGCCAAAAGUUCCAAAAAAGAGGCAGAAGUUGCCAAAGACAAGCAUAAACCUGUCGCUGUGAAGAAAGAAACUGCUGUUGCAGUUAAAAAAGCAAAACCAAAAGCUGAACCAAAGAAAGUUACCAAAGAGAAAGCUAAAGCAGAACCUGCAAAGAAAGAACCUGAGAUAACCAAAGGAAAACUGAGGGCACCAAAGAAAGAGGCUAAAGUCAUCAAGGUGGAAACCAAACCAGCUCCUGCAAAGAAAGAGGCUAAAGUCAUCAAAGGUGUUAAACCAGCUCCUAAGAAGAAAGAGCCUGAAGUAAUCAAGAAGAAAGUUAAACUGGCUCCUGUAAAGAAAAGUAUGAAUCUCAAUGAAAUCAUGCUGAAUAUGUUGUUGUUGUUCCACUUUAUAAUGAUCAUUUAUUACAUUUUACAGAGCAUGGAAGUUGCUAAAAAAAAGGCACUUGUCCUAAAACCCAAAAAAGGUUAG
RNAcentral lists this long non-coding RNA (2259 nucleotides) under Carassius auratus (goldfish). Its description in RNAcentral is "lncRNA (ENSCARG00000063620.1)". The record is from RNAcentral. Lineage: Eukaryota; Metazoa; Chordata; Actinopteri; Cypriniformes; Cyprinidae.